This 896-nucleotide ribosomal RNA is filed under the name uncultured bacterium. Its description in RNAcentral is "bacterial SSU rRNA". It matches the Rfam family "Bacterial small subunit ribosomal RNA", at positions 1 to 891 of the family's 1533-position model. The record is from RNAcentral.
CUUAGAGUUUGAUCCUGGCUCAGGAUGAACGCUAGCUACAGGCUUAACACAUGCAAGUCGAGGGGAAACGACAUCGAAAGCUUGCUUUUGAUGGGCGUCGACCGGCGCACGGGUGAGUAACGCGUAUCCAACCUGCCCACCACUUGGGAAUAACCUUGCGAAAGUAAGACUAAUACCCAAUGACGUCUCUAGAAGACAUCUGAAGGAGAUUAAAGAUUUAUCGGUGAUGGAUGGGGAUGCGUCUGAUUAGCUUGUUGGCGGGGUAACGGCCCACCAAGGCGACGAUCAGUAGGGGUUCUGAGAGGAAGGUCCCCCACAUUGGAACUGAGACACGGUCCAAACUCCUACGGGAGGCAGCAGUGAGGAAUAUUGGUCAAUGGACGAGAGUCUGAACCAGCCAAGUAGCGUGCAGGAUGACGGCCCUAUGGGUUGUAAACUGCUUUUAUAAGGGAAUAAAGUGAGCCUCGUGAGGCUUUUUGCAUGUACCUUAUGAAUAAGGACCGGCUAAUUCCGUGCCAGCAGCCGCGGUAAUACGGAAGGUCCGGGCGUUAUCCGGAUUUAUUGGGUUUAAAGGGAGCGUAGGCCGGAGAUUAAGCGUGUUGUGAAAUGUAGACGCUCAACGUCUGCACUGCAGCGCGAACUGGUUUCCUUGAGUACGCACAAAGUGGGCGGAAUUCGUGGUGUAGCGGUGAAAUGCUUAGAUAUCACGAAGAACUCCGAUUGCGAAGGCAGCUCACUGGAGCGCAACUGACGCUGAAGCUCGAAAGUGCGGGUAUCGAACAGGAUUAGAUACCCUGGUAGUCCGCACGGUAAACGAUGGAUGCCCGCUGUUGGUCUGAAUAGGUCAGCGGCCAAGCGAAAGCAUUAAGCAUCCCACCUGGGGAGUACGCCGGCAA